Molecule: unclassified non-coding RNA, 350 nt
Filed under: Hevea brasiliensis (rubber tree)
Lineage: Eukaryota; Viridiplantae; Streptophyta; Magnoliopsida; Malpighiales; Euphorbiaceae
Source: RNAcentral
CUAAAAAGCCUAAUAAAACUCCUCACCAUCUUGUAUCCAUCGUCCUCUCAGUGACACUUCUCUAACAAACCACUUACUUAGCUUCUCACAAACCCCAAAACCAACCCCUUUUGUCCUUGUCUUGAACCGUUUCUAUCAUCUUUGAAAAUAAACUCCUAAGAUCCCUUGUCCCUCUUCUAGUCUUCCACCUCUCUUUCAUUUCUUGCUUUAAAGAAGAUGUCUACCGCCGGAAUCUUUACAGCUCCGGCCGUUACUGGGUCUGGUUGCCAAGGCCUCAAAGCCAACUCAACAAGACAGUUGUUCCCUGCAAAGGAUUCUAUUGCAUGGAGUCGCAAAACUGUCUCCAAUGG